GCCCUGGGCCUAAUCCAAGGUGAUACCUGCCCAAUGGUUAAAAAACAAAUCCUUUAAAAGAAAUUAUUCAACCAAAUGGCUGCAGUAUUCCUGACUGUAUUAAGGUAGCACAAUCAAUCGCCACUUAAUUGGUGGAUAGAAUGAAUGGUAUAACGAAAGUUUCACUGUCUCAAGUAUAAAAAGGAAAAAAUUGAAAUAAUAGUCAAGAUGCUAUUUAAAAUCGUAAGACGAUAAGACCCUAUAAAGCUUUACUGUUAAUAUUUAUAUAUAAAUAUUAAGACAGUUUACUUGGGGCAAGGACUUUUUAAAAAGAAAAAAAGUAAACAAAAAUUAAUAAUAAUAAUUUAUUGUAUAAAUUAAAAUUUUAACAAUUACUAAGUAGGUUAUAAUGACCUGUUAACAUAUAAAAACAAAGUUAACAAUCAAUUGAUAAAAGCUACUUUAGGGAUAACAGGAUAAUUUCAUCAAAGAGAUGGUAUCACUGAUGAAGUUUGUCACCUCGAUGUUGAAUUAAGAUAACCUAACGGAGCAAAAGCUGUUAAAGGUAGGUCUGUUCGACCUUUAAAUAUCUU
RNAcentral lists this ribosomal RNA (572 nucleotides) under Polyplumaria cornuta. Its description in RNAcentral is "partial large subunit ribosomal RNA". It matches the Rfam family "Bacterial large subunit ribosomal RNA", at positions 1818 to 2597 of the family's 2925-position model. The record is from RNAcentral. Lineage: Eukaryota; Metazoa; Cnidaria; Hydrozoa; Leptothecata; Plumulariidae.